GCAUGCACAAGUAAAUUAAUAAACUAUUUUCUUAAUUUGAAGGGACCAGGGCCAGUUGUCGUCCCCCCUCACUCCCCGCCAGUUUGCUAAGACCUCUGCUCUAUAUUACCCCACCAUCCUAUGUUGACUCAUAUCUGGCUUCAACCAGAUGCUCAGGAAGUGCAUUCAGUCUGGUAGCCAAUCAGGCUCCUACCCGGCCACAAGCAGGAACUGUUCUUGCUAUUUUCACUCAGACAGACCCCGACACAGCAGACAGACCCCUGACCCUCAACCACAUUUGCUGACCAGAUGUCAUGAACCAAUCCUAAAAUGAUUCCUGUAUCAGAGGGGCUAUACCCAGUCACUUCAAAGUACGCUUAACCACAGCUGGAAUUCUCCUAAGCAGGCCUAAGAGGGGGAAACUAUUCCGGGCAGACCCCAGCAUCCUGGUUUUUCUAUCUCGAGAAUAAAGCACUUUCUGCAAUUGCAUAUUGGGUGUCUUCUGGUCAUCUGGAGUGAUCUAAGGACCCUACAAUUUACAAAUAAAAACGGUUCUUAAAAAGUUUGAAAGGGGAGGACCGCUCCUCCAGUGGUCUCCCGAGGACUGAAGCCUCGUGCUCCACAAGGCUCUCAGCUGUGGCUUGCUCUUUCCCUCCCUCUCCUUUCCAGCUUCCUACUCUAGCUAGCUACCUGCUCUUCUGUCCUUUCCAAACAGAACAGAGCCAAAGCCUAGCCCCAGCCCGACUCCCUUCAGAACCUAGAUAAAGGCUGGCCAGUUUCUGAAGAGACGGCACCCUCACUAACAGGCGUGGGGUAUCUGCUUACGGAGGGGCUGCCAGGCUCACCCUCUCCCGUCCCUGGAAGCAGGGCCUUGAAGGCCACGUGCAGGACAUUGGUGGGUAAGGACAGGCAAAUUGAGAGUGCUGGGCUAGUCUAUUCCGAGUCUAUCCAUGGCUCUUCACAUUGGUCUACUCUCUUUCAGGCGGUGGUAGCGUCACGCUGCUGUUCUGUUCUCUGAAGUAGGAUGUGACUGUGACACUUGUCUCAGCCAGUGGGAUGUGAGGAAAAGCAAGCUGUGCCAGCCCCAGUCCGAAGCUUUGAGACUAAGAGCUUCUUUAUGGAAACAAGGGGCCUCACAUAGCCCAAGCUGGCCUCGAACUUGCUGUGUAGCUGAGAGUGACUGUGAACUUCUGCUCCUACUGGUUCCACCUCCCUCGUGCCGGCAUCACAGGACUGUGACCCUAAGGCCGGUUUUUAUACAGUGUGGAGAUGGGGUGCUCACACAUGCUAGGCAAACACCCUACUGUUGGGCUACAUCUCCAGCUCCUAGAUUUAUUUUCAAAGGAAAUGUUAUUCCCGUCAAGUGAAAUAUCAUCCCCUAAGUAGAAUGCAAUGGAAAAUAAUCAGAAUGAAAUAAACCAUUUUGUUACAUCCUGA
Molecule: long non-coding RNA, 1416 nt
Organism: Peromyscus leucopus (white-footed mouse)
Lineage: Eukaryota; Metazoa; Chordata; Mammalia; Rodentia; Cricetidae
Exons: 2
Source: RefSeq, a predicted model, not a curated record